Molecule: unclassified non-coding RNA, 190 nt
Filed under: plant metagenome
Description: partial contains small subunit ribosomal RNA and internal transcribed spacer 1
Rfam family: Eukaryotic small subunit ribosomal RNA (bases 1-46)
Source: RNAcentral
AAGUCGUAACAAGGUUUCCGUAGGUGAACCUGCGGAAGGAUCAUUAAUGAAAUGUAGGACGCUCUUUUUAGAGGUCCGACCAAAUCAUUUUCCUUUACUCUGUGCACACACUACUUUUUACACCCAUUUUUAUACUCAUUAGUCUUAAGAAUGUAAAACAAGUCUCGAAAGAGCAAUAAAACAAAUAAAA